CAUGAAGUUGGAAUCGCUAGUAAUCGCGGAUCAGCAUGCCGCGGUGAAUACGUUCCCGGGCCUUGUACACACCGCCCGUCACACCAUGAGAGUCGGGAACACCCGAAGUCCGUAGCCUAACAGCAAUGGGGCGCGGCCGAAGGUGGGUUCGAUAAUUGGGGGUGAAGUCGUAACAAGGUACC
Molecule: ribosomal RNA, 182 nt
Filed under: uncultured bacterium
Lineage: Bacteria
Description: partial 16S ribosomal RNA
Rfam family: Bacterial small subunit ribosomal RNA
Source: RNAcentral